CUGGUUUGUUUCCGGUUUGAGCCGAAUUAAAUAAAAUGGAGUGACGGUGCUUCUUUUCGGCAUACCUGGUCCUCUGACUCGCAAUAAGUUUCAAAUAAUUCUGUUGUCAGACUACUAAAAUGUCCAUUCAAAAGAAGUGUCCAGAUUGUGGCUCCCUGGAAAUUGUGGAGGAUUCUCACUACACUCAGAACCAGUUGGUGUGUGCAGAUUGUGGCUUUAUUCUAACUGAAGGACUUCUCACCACUACAUAUGCUGAUGAAGAACAUUUACAAGAAGUGACAUAUUCACGAAGUACUGGUCAAAGUGAACAGCUGAGCCGCUGCUUGCAGCGAGGUAAAUGUUUAAUAUUACCAGUCAGCACCUUUUGGUGCACUGUACUUCCCAUUUGUGAAGUGUAGCUCCUCUCUAAAGUCAAAAUCAUUCUGUACUUUUAAAUUACCUGUAUCCUUUGCUAAGGGCAGGGUGAUUUCCCAUUUCAGAUUUCCAGAUUUCAGAGCAUUUCAGAGCUCAUUAAAUCCCUGGUAGAUAAUCUUGAGCUGGUACCAGGCUUCUGCCAAAUAGGUAGGCUUUAAA
Thamnophis sirtalis is the source of this 573-nucleotide non-coding RNA. The record is from RefSeq and is a predicted model, not a curated record. Lineage: Eukaryota; Metazoa; Chordata; Lepidosauria; Squamata; Natricidae.